This is a non-coding RNA of Chrysemys picta bellii (western painted turtle), 386 nucleotides long. The record is from RefSeq and is a predicted model, not a curated record. Lineage: Eukaryota; Metazoa; Chordata; Testudines; Emydidae.
AUGCGGGAGAACUAUGAGACAGUGACAUCUCUGGGAUUCCCCCUUCCCAAACCAGACCUGAUCACCCGGCUGGAACAAGGGGAAGAGCCGUGGGUGCCCAAUCUCCAGGCCUGCGAGGAAAGAGAGAUCCCGAGAGGCGCCCGCACAGCACAAUAACUCCUGUCUGGAUUGUCUCUCUCCCAGCAGGUGAUGAGAGAAUGAGUGAGAACGAGGAGGGGAAUCAACAGCAGGAAGUUCCUGGACACGGGGAAUCACAGGGGACCUCUGUGGGAAGCCCCCAUCUGUGCUUAGACUGUGGAAAAAGUUUCAUAUGGAGGUCAACCCUACUUGAUCAUCAGGCAGUCCACACUGGAGAGAGACCCCAUAAGUGCUUAGACUGCGGAAAA